RNAcentral lists this ribosomal RNA (849 nucleotides) under uncultured archaeon. RNAcentral describes it as "bacterial SSU rRNA". It matches the Rfam family "Archaeal small subunit ribosomal RNA", at positions 468 to 1336 of the family's 1478-position model. The record is from RNAcentral.
CGGUAAUACUAGCGGUCCAAGUCGCAGCCAUUUUUAUUGGGUCUAAAACAUCCGUAGCUUGCUUAAUAAGUUCCUUGUGAAAUCCUGUAUCUCAAGUACAGGGCGAGCAAGGAAUACUGUUGAGCUAGAGACCGGAAGACGUGAGGAGUACGUUUGAAGUAUCGGUAAAAUGAGUUAAUCUCAAACGGACUAACAAUAGCGAAGGCACCUCACGAGGACGGUUCUGACAGUAAGGGAUGAAGGCUAGGGGCGCAAAACGGAUUAGAUACCCGUGUAGUCCUAGCAGUAAACACUGCACACUAAACAUUAGUACCUCCUCGAGAGGUAUUGGUGCUGAAGGGAAGCCGAAGAGUGUGCUACCUGGGAAGUAUAGUCGCAAGGCCGAAACUUAAAGGAAUAGGCGGGGAGAUACUACAACGGGUGACGCGUGCGGUUCAAUUAGAUUCUACACCGUGAACCCUACCAGGACCGACAGCAGAAUGAAGGUCAGUCUGAAGGGCUUACCUGACACGCUGAGAGGAGUAGCAUGGCCGACGUCAGCCUGUGUCGUGAGAUGACCUGUUAAAUCAGGUAACAGGCAAGACCCUCGUGCAUAUUUGCAAUAGUACUAUAUGCAGAUUGCCAUGGUAACAUGGAUGAAAGUGGGGGCUACGUUAGGUGAGUACAGCCCGACCGCCCUGGGCAACACGCGCGCGUCAAUGGUGAAUACAACGGGAUGCAACACCGAAUGGUGAAGCUAAUCUCUUAAAGUUCAUCUCAGUCCAGAUUGAGGUUUGUAACUCAGCCUCAUGACGCUGGAAUCCGUAGUAAUCGUUUGUCAACAACGAACGGUGAAUACGUCACUGUCUC